This 86-nucleotide transfer RNA is filed under the name Crassvirales sp. RNAcentral describes it as "tRNA-Leu". It matches the Rfam family "tRNA". Rfam says of the family: Transfer RNA (tRNA) molecules are approximately 80 nucleotides in length. Their secondary structure includes four short double-helical elements and three loops (D, anti-codon, and T loops). Further hydrogen bonds mediate the characteristic L-shaped molecular structure. tRNAs have two regions of fundamental functional importance: the anti-codon, which is responsible for specific mRNA codon recognition, and the 3' end, to which the tRNAs corresponding amino acid is attached (by aminoacyl-tRNA synthetases). tRNAs cope with the degeneracy of the genetic code in two manners: having more than one tRNA (with a specific anti-codon) for a particular amino acid; and 'wobble' base-pairing, i.e. permitting non-standard base-pairing at the 3rd anti-codon position. The record is from RNAcentral. Lineage: Duplodnaviria; Heunggongvirae; Uroviricota; Caudoviricetes; Crassvirales.
GCCGGGUUGGUGGAAUAGGUAGACACGUUGGACUUAAAAUCCAAUGGCCAGUAAUGGCCGUGCAAGUUCGAUUCUUGUACCCGGUA